AGGACGAACGCUGGCGGCGUGGAUUAGGCAUGCAAGUCGAGCGACGGCAUCUUUCGGGAUGUACGGAGCGGCGAACGGGUGAGUAACGCGUGAACAACCUGUCCCUUUGUUCCGGAUAAUUGGAAGAAAUUCCUUGUAAUACGGGUGAGGAUGGUCUUUUGGCAUCGAGAGACCAGGGAACACGAAAGUGGUAUUGGGAGGGGUUCGCGACCUAUCAGGUAGUUGGUGUGGUAACGGCACACCAAGCCAACGACGGGUAGCUGGU
Molecule: ribosomal RNA, 265 nt
Filed under: uncultured bacterium
Lineage: Bacteria
Description: partial small subunit ribosomal RNA
Rfam family: Bacterial small subunit ribosomal RNA
Source: RNAcentral